This 90-nucleotide ribosomal RNA is filed under the name Staphylococcus epidermidis. Lineage: Bacteria; Bacillati; Bacillota; Bacilli; Caryophanales; Staphylococcaceae. RNAcentral also lists the same sequence under 1 other name. The record is from RNAcentral.
CACCUGUUCCCAUGCCGAACACAGAAGUUAAGCUCCUUAGCGCCGAUGGUAGUUGGACUGACGUUCCGCUAGAGUAGGACGUUGCCAGGC